GAUGAACGCUGGCGGCGUGCCUAAUACAUGCAAGUCGAGCGAACGGACGAGAAGCUUGCUUUUCUGAUGUUAGCGGCGGACGGGUGAGUAACACGUGGAUAACCUACCUAUAAGACUGGGAUAACUUCGGGAAACCGGAGCUAAUACCGGAUAAUAUUUUGAACCGCAUGGUUCAACAGUGAAAGACGGUCUUGCUGUCACUUAUAGAUGGAUCCGCGCUGCAUUAGCUAGUUGGUAAGGUAACGGCUUACCAAGGCAACGAUGCAUAGCCGACCUGAGAGGGAGAUCGGCCACACUGGAACUGAGACACGGUCCAGACUCCUACGGGAGGCAGCAGUAGGGAAUCCUCCGCAAUGGGCGAAAGCCUGACGGAGCAACGCCGCGUGAGUGAUGAAGGUCUUCGGAUCGUAAAACUCUGUUAUUAGGGAAGAACAUAUGUGUAAGUAACUGUGCACAUCUUGACGGUACCUAAUCAGAAAGCCACGGCUAACUACGUG
RNAcentral lists this ribosomal RNA (497 nucleotides) under uncultured bacterium. RNAcentral describes it as "partial 16S ribosomal RNA". It matches the Rfam family "Bacterial small subunit ribosomal RNA", at positions 28 to 507 of the family's 1533-position model. The record is from RNAcentral.